CCUACGGGUGGCAGCAGUGGGGAAUAUUGGACAAUGGGGGGAACCCUGAUCCAGCGACGCCGCGUGAGUGAAGAAGUAUUUCGGUAUGUAAAGCUCUAUCAGCAGGGAAGAAAGAAAUGACGGUACCUGACUAAGAAGCCGCGGCUAACUACGUGCCAGCAGCCGCGGUAAUACGUAGGGGACAAGCGUUAGCCGGAUUUACGGGGUGUAAGGGGAGCGUAGACGGCGAUGCAAGUCUGAAGUGAAAGGCUGGGGCUCAACCCCCGGACUGCAUUGGAAACUGUAUGGCUGGAGUGCAGGAGAGGUAGGUGGAAUUCCUAGUGUAGCGGUGAAAUGCGUAGAUAUUAGGAGGAACACCAGUGGCGAAGGCGGCUUACUGGACUGUAACUGACGUUGAGGCUCGAAAGCGUGGGGAGCAAACAGGAUUAGAUACCCGUGUAGUC
This 443-nucleotide ribosomal RNA is filed under the name uncultured bacterium. RNAcentral describes it as "partial 16S ribosomal RNA". It matches the Rfam family "Bacterial small subunit ribosomal RNA", at positions 338 to 795 of the family's 1533-position model. The record is from RNAcentral.